This 477-nucleotide ribosomal RNA is filed under the name uncultured bacterium. RNAcentral's name for it is "bacterial SSU rRNA". The stretch from base 13 to 358 matches the Rfam family "Bacterial small subunit ribosomal RNA", at positions 47 to 391 of the family's 1533-position model. The record is from RNAcentral.
GGGGGGUGUAGUUCUAACACAUGCAAAUUGGAGCGGAAGAGAAAAGCUUNUUUCUUUUNAGAACGGCGAACGGGUGAGUAAUGNAUAGGAAUCUCCCUGGUAGAGGGGGAUAACGUUCUGGAAACGGAAGCUAAUNCCGCAUACGUCCUACGGGACAAAAUAGGGGACCUUCGGGCCUUGCGCUAUCAGAUGAGCCUAGCUGGGAUUAGCUAGUUGGUGGGGUAAUGGCUCCCCAAGGCGACGAUCCCUAACUGGUCCNAGUGGAUGACCAGUCACACUGGAACUGAGACACGGUCCAGAAUCCUACGGGACGCAGCAUCAUGCGAAUAUUGCACAAUGGGAGAGAAGCCUGAUCCAGCCACGCUCGCCGGUGUGACAGGCAGCCCUUACCGUUGGAAAACCACUAUCACUCAGGAGGAAGGCGCAAUACUUAAAAAAUAAAAAGAUUGACGAAACUCGCCAGACGAGGCCCCCACC